RNAcentral lists this ribosomal RNA (433 nucleotides) under uncultured bacterium. RNAcentral describes it as "partial 16S ribosomal RNA". It matches the Rfam family "Bacterial small subunit ribosomal RNA", at positions 29 to 507 of the family's 1533-position model. The record is from RNAcentral.
AACGAACGCUGGCGGCAUGCCUAACACAUGCAAGUCGAACGAAGGCUUCGGCCUUAGUGGCGCACGGGUGCGUAACGCGUGGGAAUCUGCCCUUUGGUUCGGAAUAACAGCUGGAAACGGCUGCUAAUACCGGAUGAUGACGAAAGUCCAAAGAUUUAUCGCCAGAGGAUGAGCCCGCGUUGGAUUAGGUAGUUGGUGGGGUAAAGGCCUACCAAGGCGACGAUCCAUAGCUGGUCUGAGAGGAUGAUCAGCCACACUGGGACUGAGACACGGCCCAGACUCCUACGGGAGGGAGCAGUGGGGAAUAUUGGACAAUGGGCGCAAGCCUGAUCCAGCAAUGCCGGGUGAGUGAUGAAGGCCCUAGGGUUGUAAAGCUCUUUUACCCGGGAAGAUAAUGACUGUACCGGGAGAAUAAGCCCCGGCUAACUCCGUG